AAAUCAUAGUGUGGACAUUUUAGCAAUAAAUCCUUAAAUCUUUCUCAAUAUUCAUAAAAUUCAUCGUGAUAUUUCUGAUAAAAUUUGGAGAUUUCUCUCUUAAUAU
Cannabis sativa is the source of this 106-nucleotide small nucleolar RNA. NCBI's taxonomy places the organism in Eukaryota, Viridiplantae, Streptophyta, Magnoliopsida, Rosales, Cannabaceae. The record is from RefSeq and is a predicted model, not a curated record.